UACGUAGGGCGCAAGCGUUAUCCGGAAUUAUUGGGCGUAAAGAGCUCGUAGGCGGUUUGUCGCGUCUGCCGUGAAAGUCCGGGGCUCAACUCCGGAUCUGCGGUGGGUACGGGCAGACUAGAGUGAUGUAGGGGAGACUGGAAUUCCUGGUGUAGCGGUGAAAUGCGCAGAUAUCAGGAGGAACACCGGUGGCGAAGGCGGUGAUCUGGGCCAGUACUGACGCUGAGGAGCGAAAGCGUGGGUAGCAAACAGG
This 253-nucleotide ribosomal RNA is filed under the name uncultured bacterium. Its description in RNAcentral is "partial 16S ribosomal RNA". It matches the Rfam family "Bacterial small subunit ribosomal RNA", at positions 524 to 776 of the family's 1533-position model. The record is from RNAcentral.